RNAcentral lists this long non-coding RNA (1046 nucleotides) under Homo sapiens (human). Its description in RNAcentral is "long non-coding RNA NONHSAT172517.1". Lineage: Eukaryota; Metazoa; Chordata; Mammalia; Primates; Hominidae. The record is from RNAcentral.
GGGUCAGCCCGAGCCCGUGCGGGCCCUUUAAGGGCCGGGGGCGUGUAGCGGGCCCGCCCCCUCCCCGCGGCGCCCGCAGUCCGUUAAGUGCGAGCCCCGGCGCAGGGGCCGGAUCUGGCCGGGGGCCGGCGGCGGUGUGGGAGCGGCGCGUCAUGUACACCAUCACCAAGGGGCCCAGCAAGCUGGUCGCGCAGCGCCGCACAGGUCCCACGCAGCAGCAGGUGGAGGGCCGGCUCGGCGAGCUCCUGAAAUGCCGGCAGCCCGCGCCGCCGACCUCGCAGCCCCCGCGGGCGCAGCCCUUUGCGCAGCCGCCGGGACCCUGGCCCCUUGCCCCUCUCAGCUGAGGAGGAACCGAGAGCGGCGCUGGGGCACCUGAGCCCAGGAAGGCAACAGGCCGGCCGGGACCGCGAGUGCCUGGCGGAGCAGGCGCAGCCCAGGACUCCCGGCUCCCACCUCCGGCUUCCAGGGCCAAGGCUUGUGUUCAAUCGUGUGAAUGGCCGGCGGGCCCCCUCCACGUCCCCAUCCUUCGAGGGGACCCAGGAGACCUACACAGUGGCCCACGAGGAGAAUGUCCGCUUUGUGUCCGAAGCCUGGCAGCAGGUGCAACAGCAGCUGGAUGGUGGCCCAGCCGGUGAGGGCGGGCCAAGGCCUGUGCAGUACGUGGAGAGGACCCCCAAUCCCCGGCUGCAGAACUUUGUGCCCAUUGACCUAGACGAGUGGUGGGCGCAGCAGUUCCUGGCGAGAAUCACCAGCUGUUCCUAGUGGCUGCUGGGAGGGGGCGCUGCUACACGGCCGACCUGUCGCCAGGAGAGAAGCAUGGCGCCCUGCCCACCCACUGCGCCUGGCUGGGUGCCGGCCACACCUGAAGUGCCAGCAUUUGGACUUUUGCACCUUUUUUUCCCUUGGCCCGGCUGUCCCAACCAAGCUGCCAUGGCCAAGGGCCGAACCCGUCUGACCUCAGCCCUGCUCACUGUGCCCAGGGACCAGCGACCAGCCCCUGGGGCUGGCAGGGAGGAGCUCCAGGCUAAUAAAGUGGAGAAACUGUC